RNA transcript from Megalopta genalis, 8465 nucleotides. It is a transcript of the gene named STKc_STK36 domain-containing protein fused, with no coding region annotated. The record is from RefSeq and is a predicted model, not a curated record. NCBI's taxonomy places the organism in Eukaryota, Metazoa, Arthropoda, Insecta, Hymenoptera, Halictidae.
GAAACAUUGAAUCUGCGCGUUUAUGUUCGUGUUUACGUUUGCGCUCGCAAGGCGCGUGUAAAUACGAUCUUUCUUGUCAAUUGUUCUUUCUAACCUGACAGGGAUGUAUCGUUGCGCGCGUUAUUAGAAGUUUCUGAUUUGAUUUUAGCGUUACGCAGGUAUAGAACGAUGGCGCUCGGGGCAUAUACAGCAUGCGAAUUGGUUGGCGAAGGUUCGUUCGGACAAGUGUUCAAAGCUAAACGAUACUUCGACGGUGAAACGGUAGCUAUUAAAGCUGUUCAAAAGCAUGGAAGAUCGAACGACGAACUGAAAAGUUUGCGUCAAGAAUGGGAGAUCCAACGCGAGCUUCAACAUCCAAAUAUAGUGCCGAUAUAUGGAUGCUACGAGAAUAAAACCGAGAUAUGGGUUGAAACGGAAUACGUGGCCAAAGACUUGCACAAGGUGUUGAAGACUAGUAAAAAUUGCAGACUGUCCAUCGAAAGAACUCAAGCGAUAACGUGCGAUCUGGUCUCCGCGUUGUAUUACUUGCACUCCAAGGGAAUAUUGCACAGGGACAUUAAACCGCAAAACGUAUUGAUCAAGCAGAACGGACAAGCGAUGCUGUGCGACUUUGGUUUCGCCCGCAGCAUGCAAACGGGCACACGGGUAUUGACUUCCAUAAAAGGAACGCCGUUGUACAUGGCCCCGGAGCUUAUAGAGGAACAGCCUUACGAUCACAACGUGGAUUUAUGGUCGCUCGGCUGUAUCGUGUUCGAGAUAGUUACCGGUGCGCCACCUUUCAAUACAAAUUCGAUUUUACACUUGAUCAGAUUGAUAAGAGACGUACGGAUAAAGUGGCCAGAUUUUAUUUCCGAUAGCUGCAAGAGUUUCCUACAGAGACUACUGCAGAAGGAUCCGUCGCGAAGGUUGACGUGGCCCGCCCUUUUGGUGGAUCCAUUCGUGAAGGACGGAGUCCUGAUAAUCGACGGAGACGCGAACAACGCGUCGCUAGCGACGAAGAACGAUUUAACGAAAGACGACUCCGUACCGCGAAACAACAGUUUAUCCGAUUGGAAUCCAACGAUGGUCGAAAGUAAUAUCGAAAACGAAGAAUGGAUCGCGUUCUUGCAGAAAUCUAUGGAGGAAAUCAUGGACGGCGAAAUGGAUUCGUUGCUGCAACAAAAUUGUGUCUCGGUAUUCGUGUCACCGCUGAGAAAUCCACGGGCCAGUUGUCGAGUCGUGAAAUACGUAGCUUGUCUUCUCUCGUUACCGUUCGUCGUCUCGAACGGUCAGCCGAAAGACUGUCUCUCGAAAAUCGAGAAAAUAUAUUUGGACGUUUGGGUCGUACCGAAUCUUGUGUUCGCACUGAAACUUUUCAUGUUCAAGGAGUCCCGUAAUACGAACAAGACCUGUAAAUCUGGGAACACGGAUAGCAGUCUCGCGACCAAUUGGAACGCGAACCGCCUCGAAACCCUGGAACACGCGAUACUUUUGCUUUGCAGGCUAAUUCACAAUCAGCAGAGAUUUCUGGCUCAGUUUUGCGACGCGAUCUAUCUCGUCGAUGGAAUCGAGUUUCUAAAAGAAUUGUUAAAAUUGAGGGAGGAACGGAUUCUCGGUAAUCUCGUUGCGAUUUUUAACGAAAUACUGCGAUCUCAGCCCGAAAACGCGAAUCUAGUGAAAACCGUUGUUCUAAUCUGGGAUAAACCGGAGGACGCAGCGGUGAUGCUUUGCCGCCUCGUAGCGGCCUCGGACGACGUAACAGCCGCAAGAUGUUGCCGUUUGAUCCGACUGCUGGGCGGAUGUUUUCGCACGACAUUGGAAAGCGUAUGGUCGAACGUGUUGAACGUCGGUAUACUGAGUGCGAAAACGUUGAACGACAUCGGUCCAGAGUUUCCCGAAACCGGCGACGAGACGAGGGCACUUUCCGCGAUCGAAGAUCGAUGAAUCCUAUCGCGAGGGACAACGCCGACCACCGCGAAGCAGAGCCAUUGUCCAUCGAUUCCUGCAAUUUUCUCACGAUUUUCCGUUCGAGCUCGGUAUCUUCGUUUGUACAGAAAAAAGGAUUAAAGAAAAAAGAAAACGGAGAAGACAGCGGCGGCGUAUAGAGGCAUCGGAGGGAACGAAAGUAACGUUCGAUCCCGUCGUGGAAGAAAAGUGCGAAAGAAAGGGAUCUCUCGUUCACGGGUUCCCGUUGCGUCAUCGGUUGCGACACUCUUCCUCGUACAUCGCUCGCAACUUGAGCACGUCCUUCUCGCUAAGACCCUUUCGUUGCCCGAGCUUCGCUCCUUUUUUCUGCGUAACAAGUAAGUGCAUCGUACCUCGUCUAUAUUAUUCGGAACGCGUCGACCAGCCGGUACAGCGUAGCGUGUACACACGGUGUUGUACAUACUUUUGGAGUAAUGGUCGGUUCGCCGUUUUUCGAAAACGCGUGAGAACUGUAGUGCAUCACGCUGGCGUAGUCGUAGCCGAUCCCGUAAUCGGUAACGGUCCGAUUGUCGUAUUUGUUGAAAUUGUGUUCUUUGCCUGGAAACGGAGCGAAGGAUGGGUCGACGGAGAGGAGGACGGCCGAAACGAUCUUACUCACCUGGUUUCACGUUCGUCCAAUUUAUAACGACCCACCGGUCGCGAUCCGCCGCGCUCUGUUGGUGAUAAAAGCCCAGCGCGUGCAUCAAUUCGUGAACGAUCACGCCGUGGUGCACGCAUCCUGGACUUUGUAAAUUCAAUACUUGCCCGCGAUCGUGUCGACCGACCAAAGACCAACACCCGGACGUUUUCCCUUCUAUCGCGACGUAGUCGACGUCCGUCUUCUCGUAAGGUCGGAAACGUAUGCACGUGCUCUCGUGGUACUCGUCCAUGGCGCGUUCGAUCAGCUCGAUCUCUUCUUCGUCUGCGAACGCGACGCGCAACCGUGAAACGACGAAACGUCGAAUCCUGUUUAGGGAUCGAUCGACGAAAGCAUCCAAUUACCGAAAUCUUCUUCCUUUAUAUGGUACGGUACUAUUCCGGCGGGCCAACGGGACGCGGUCUUGACCAAACCGUUCUUCGAUUCGACGUCUCCUUCCUCCGACGGGUACAGCAUUAUGUCUCCUUCGAACAGGCCGCUCAGUUCCCAGAGAUUCUCCCUGUCCUCCCUCGACCAAGACUGUAUACGGUUUGCUGUCGCGAACAAAGGAUGUAACGGUACAACGCGUUCCGAACAGAACAGAUUUCGCCUAGGUAGAAAGAGAUUCGUCGUCGAUCGAUCGAUCGAUCGAUCUCGCGUUCGUUUACCAAUGAUUCGAUGCGCGUGCGUUUCGUCGAAGAUGCCUCGGUGCUUCGGAGUCGGUGGAACCACCGGUACGUCGCCUCGUACCGUCGUCGAAGUUACCGUCGCAACCGAUAGCAAGAAGACCGACAAGGAGAAGGACGAUAACGAUAACGUCGACCGCGUCGACGCGACAUUUUUCUCGACGAUUCCAAAUUUCAUAUUGCUCCGGCGAAAGAGUCGGGGAAGAAGCAAACUGUGCACGCUACAUACGAGCGUUCGAAAAGCAAACGACUCGCCGAAUCGUUAUAUAGCCACGAAAAUGCUCGCGUUCGAAGCAUUUAACAUCCGCUCCACGUAUCCUGUUAUCGACCGUUCCUCGACGAAACUCGUUUGCGACCGAUACGGUCGAAUCGCGUGCAUCGUCGUCGUAUUCGGUUUCCGUCGAACCUGUAAACCGCGAAACAACGUUUCCUCUCUCUUCCCUUUUACCGUUUUCCAUUUUUCGCUCCCCCACGGAGAAACGACGGAUCUUCGUUCGUGUCCCCGCCGCGGUAGACCGCUCGCAUAUUCGACCGGACGAACAAACGUUUUUCUUAUCGUCGGGGCAAACGGUAAUUUCUAACGACCGAAGCGAUAUCCAUCGCUCUCGUUGAUUUCGUUCCAUGGCAUAGUUCUCCACGCGCGACGCGUCGUCGUCGUCGUCGAUAUGCAAAUUCAUAGAAUAAUAACGACGGAGAGAUCGCGACGCGAAUAUCAACUUGGCUUUUUAUUCGUCUUAUCUAUUCGUGGUCGGCGGCGUAUGUUUCGGCCGAUAGUCGACGCGGUCGGGGCACGGCUUCGUCGUCGGCAGUUUCUUUACGAAGAAAAUUCCCGACCUCCGUCGUAUCGUGCUUCGAGCCGUAGUCGGGUUAUCCGUCGCGGCUACGGCGAACGACGGACGGACGAACGGAUGGAAAUAGGAAAGAACGGAAGGUAUCGCAUGGAUUCGUAUCCGCGAAUCGCCGACUCCGAAUUCUCGAGACAGCCGGAGAUCGCGGUAUCGGACGUCGGAUUGCGUCGACUAUGUAGGUCAAAAUGGUUCGGCACUCGGCCAUACAGCUUGGCACGCGGGCGUACCGCGUCGUCUCGUCGAGCGUCCGGCGUUCGGUUUCCUAACUCGUAUCGGAGAAAGAAGACGCGGGAGAGACGCUGCGGAGAAUUCGGAACGAUGGAUAUCGAUAAAUGGAAAAAUGCGCGUUGCGCUUGAUAAAUCUUCACCGAAACAGCACCGAAAGCAGGGUCAACGACCCACCUGUUCCAGAUUCGGGUGGCUCGACGUAGCCUAAAUUCUAACCGGACCCGUUGAAACCGCGAUCGGAGAGAAUGGUUGUUUCGCGUUCGUAACAUCGAACGCACAUUUGACCGACGGUUCCGAAUCGUAUCGUAUCGUAUGGAACCGAAGUUUCCUUUCGUAAACGUGGAUCGCGAGAUCGCGCGUUCGAUCGACACGACGAUAGUCAUCUUUUUACUUCUUAUACCGUACCGUUGUACCCGAAACAACUACGACGAUCGAUGGUAACAACGUCAACGACGACAAAGACAUCGGACGCGUGCUCGACGAACGUCGAGCGCGUCGCCGCUGGUGCUCCCUCGUGAACCACUGACCCACUGGGGCCAUAUGGAAACAUCGGGACUCGGGACCGUCUCGAGCCUCGAGACGAGAAUGUAUUUCGGUAGCGGGUACAUUGACCAAAAACCGAUGUUCCUUCGCGGUUCGAUGACCCCCUUCGGCCAGCCUCCUCCAGGCCCGUCCUAUCUCGUUCUCUACUUUCAAUUCCGUCUCUGUCGCCUCGAGCAUCGACUGCUCGUACUCGUAUCGCGCUCUCAUCAUCCCCCUUUACGUACUUUCUAUUCUUUCGAGUGGCCGCCGCGAAACGGAUAACGUUCGAUUUACGCGGCACCUUGCUCGCGACGAACGUUUUCGAGAAUAUCUUUUGAUCGCGACACGGAGCAGUCUUGUUCGCGAUCCGACGACCGCGGCUCGUCGACGUCGAACGAUAUCGUUCGGUUGGCGAGCUUCGUAGCAGCGAGACGGCGAAAAAUUCGAUCGGUAGGAGGAAAACGAACGCGUACCGAACGGUACGUGCGAGUAUGCGACUACCGGGCCGUUAUCUAGCGAGUAGCGGAUCGUUCGCGACGACAUCUUCCCUUUCGCGAAUCGUCGAAACGGUCCCUCCUCGUCCGUUUUCGUUGGCGUCGUCUUUCAUUUUUUCGUUUUUCUAUUCUCGUUUCUUCCACAUCUUCCUUCCUUUCUUUCUUUCCACCCGUUGGACCGAAGUCCUUUCUUCGUCCAGGUCGACGUUCGAUCGAAAAUUUGUAUCCGACACGCGGCAUUGGAACACCGUCGGUCGAGUUUUUACGCGUCUCUCCUUUUUCUUCGCGGUCUCUCGCGCAUCCCCUAGGUAUCCCCCGAUCGACCCCCUUCCCGUCGCGCGUUCUCGGUUCGCCUUCCUGUACGUCUCGUUUGUUCGCGAGUAACGAGUAUUUCCAAGCUCUCGCGUCGGUCAUACACCUGUAAGAGUGAAAGUGUCCUCCAUCCCCACCAAAAUUUGUGCCGCAUAACCACGGUUGCGGAUGCCGCCGUGUCGCCUCGCCUCGCCUCGCCUCGCCUCGCCUCGCUGGGUCGCCAUGCCACCGUAUCACCGUGCCGCGCCAAAACGAACCGAAUCUCGUCGCUCCAACGUUACGAUUAUACAUCCAUAUUCAUCCAUCGUCCGCAUCUUCCCGUAUUCGUAGAAUAUUAUGCGGUAUACGGUACCGGCGCAUCCGUACCGGUCGACGGGGCGCUGCCGCGACAGUCUGCCUCGCCGCCGGUGCCUCUCUCGUUAUUCGUUCGUCCAUCGAUAGCGUAAUUGGCGCAAUUUCGAUUUUCAACCUCGAACGGAAUCGAACGCGACCGAUGGGAUUGCCGAGGGUCGAAUUCGAAAAACGAACGUGGCACGAGAUGAAACGAAGAUGCGCGCGUGCAUCUACGUACACGUGUACGCGUACGCGCGUAUAGGAAUUUCUAUCGGCCUAUCGACUGUUCCGUGCGAAAAUAUAUGCGGCACCUUGAGCAAGAGAAAGAAACGCGCCGGCGUUAUUCGCGAUCGAGGAGAGGUAAUAAACCCAGAAACACCAGUUGGGGCCACUACACCCGCCUUCUUCGAGAGGGCAACGAACUCUGUCCUCGCACUGUAUUACAUUACGACCGAUGUCACUCGGUAUAGGUACACUCGUUCGCGACGUCUUGGCGCGGCACGAGUCGGUUGGUUUCUCCGAACCGUACCGCGAUCGAAUCGAUAUCGGUCGAGAUCCGAAACUCGAAAUCGAAUCGUUCGGCGUCUUCGAAAGUAUUCGCCGAUCGAGUUUGUCCGGGCGGCCCCCGUUCGAACGUUCGCUCGGUCCAACGUCGAUCGAUCCGGCCGAGUCUAUCGGCGCGAACCCGAAUCUCGAACCGGCACUCGUCGUUCCGUUCGUCCUCGAUACGAUUUCGUCCCGAGCAUCGUAGAGCAUCGUAGAGCAUCGUAGAGCAUCGUAGCGCGUCGCGACUUCGCGCCGCGAAGCGUAAACAGCUUUUCGGUCGCCUCCCUCGGACGACGAUAUUUCUCGUCCGGAUCGUUCGGUACGGCGGAUACCGAACGGCCGGGCGGCAUUCCUGUAAAGUACGAGAGUCGUGAAAAUAGCGUAUUAACGAAAUUAGCAUAAGAGGAGAAAGUCGCGGUCGUCGGCCUCUCGACCACGUUUGCUUCGAGUGCCGAAUCUGCGGAUUUUCGUACGCGCGGCGCUCGCGACCGAGCGGCGAGUCGGAGUUUACGCCGAAGACGAUCGGCGAAUCGGACGACGCGCGUCGCGACCCUCGCGAAACCGGUACACCGAUAUUUCUAAUCGUACAAGGUCGAAGAGCGCUCCACCCUCGAUCGGACUUUGCCAAAAUCGUAUCGAUCGCAUCGUUGUACGCGCGCGGUCCGAUAGGUUUCGCGUUGCAGCAGCAUCGGGCGAGCUUAUCGAUCCUCGUCGAAAAGAAACGACGAUGUUUCGCGCGGCCAAAGAAAACGAUCCCAGCCUUGAUAACUGGAUUCUGCCAAUGACCCGAGUCGAUCGUUGCUCCUCGAGCGGUCAACCACCUGCUCCCUCGAUAAACGUUGUAUCGCGUUCCGCGCGUCUCCUCAAAGAAUCGUUUCUUUUCGCACAAUUAUCCGCGCUCUCGUCGAUCGGCGAGCUUCGCUUUAAAAGUAAAAGUGGGUGGUGCUGCAGCGGCGCGAAGAAGUUGCGCGCACCGUUCGUCCGUGACGAUCGGCGUAUCGUAAAGUUCGUUAUACCUGAAAGGGGAUCAACGGAAGGUUAUCGUUACCGGUGAAUAACUCGCGACGCGACUCGACUCGACUCGACUCGACGGUCCUUGGAGAAAAAUUCGUUUCAUCGAACCCGAAGCAGUCGUCCUUAAGACGAAUGAAAAAUGAUUUCAUUACCGCAGGAGUUUGCGCGCGGCCUUUCGCAGGGACGGAUUCGUCGCGAGACGAGUAGAACGCGCGAACUGGUCGUUCGUCGACGAAAGAAGGCAUAAAGUAUCUCGGAAACGUCGCGUCGUUGCGAAAUCUAUACGAAAUCGGUGAAAGAUCGAAGGUUCCGAUCCGAUCGGAGCGCGUGCUCUCUGGCCCCGUCGAAACAGCGAGUCCGGAUUUCGACCGCGAUCCUGCGCGGUUCGAGGAAAGGAGUCGGCACGCUGGGCAUCCGGGUUAUAGGGUUGCCACCCUUCGAUUCGAUUCGCGUAUCGACGUCGCUCCGAUUCGUUUCGCGCGCGUGCCGGAAACGGUUCGAAAACGGUCGACGUUAUCGAAGGAUUACAUUCGACUUAUCGAUACGAUUCGAAUCGCGACCGUUGCACGUUCUCCGCGAGAGCGUGCAACGGUGUCAGCGGUCGGCGCUUGUUUCGGGCACGUACGCGGUUUCGUAUUCGUUACCGUCGCGGCGAGCCGCGCCGCGCCGCGUCCGAUGCAUCGACUCGAUCUUUACCGUGUCGUAGCGGUACCGCGACGCGGAGUACGCGUACAUCGGUACCCGAUUUCUAUCGUCGAUUAUGCUUCGUUCCCGUUCGUCUAUAUGUAUACGCGUGUACGUAUAUUCGACGAACCUACCGAUAGAUGGAUAUCUAAAAACGGAAUCUCCUACGCGACCUUUGCCGACCAAGGGGGGAGAGGGGCAGAGAGAGAGAGAGAGA